CCUACGGGGGGCAGCAGUGGGGAAUAUUGGACAAUGGGGGCAACCCUGAUCCAGCCAUGCCGCGUGUGUGAAGAAGGCCCUCGGGUUGUAAAGCACUUUCAGUGAGGAAGAACGCCUGGUGGUUAAUACCCAUCAGGAAAGACAUCACUCACAGAAGAAGCACCGGCUAACUCCGUGCCAGCAGCCGCGGUAAUACGGAGGGUGCGAGCGUUAAUCGGAAUUACUGGGCGUAAAGCGCGCGUAGGUGGCUUGAUAAACCGGUUGUGAAAGCCCCGGGCUCAACCUGGGAACGGCAUCCGGAACUGUCAAGCUAGAGUGCAGGAGAGGAAGGUAGAAUUCCCGGUGUAGCGGUGAAAUGCGUAGAGAUCGGGAGGAAUACCAGUGGCGAAGGCGGCCUUCUGGACUGACACUGACACUGAGGUGCGAAAGCGUGGGUAGCAAACAGGAUUAGAUACCCGAGUAGUC
RNAcentral lists this ribosomal RNA (465 nucleotides) under Vreelandella stevensii. Its description in RNAcentral is "partial 16S ribosomal RNA". It matches the Rfam family "Bacterial small subunit ribosomal RNA", at positions 338 to 795 of the family's 1533-position model. Lineage: Bacteria; Pseudomonadati; Pseudomonadota; Gammaproteobacteria; Oceanospirillales; Halomonadaceae. The record is from RNAcentral.